This 383-nucleotide ribosomal RNA is filed under the name uncultured Leptolinea sp. RNAcentral describes it as "bacterial SSU rRNA". It matches the Rfam family "Bacterial small subunit ribosomal RNA", at positions 987 to 1381 of the family's 1533-position model. Lineage: Bacteria; Bacillati; Chloroflexota; Anaerolineae; Anaerolineales; Anaerolineaceae. The record is from RNAcentral.
GCAAGUGGUAGGAAGUCCGAAAGGUAGACCGGACCCUUCGGGGAGGCUUGCACAGUGCUGCAUGGCUGUCGUCAGCUCGUGUCGUGAGAUGUUCGGUUAAGUCCGCUAACGAGCGCAACCCUCGUCGUGUGUUAUACGUGUCACACGAUACUGCCGGUAUCAAGCCGGAGGAAGGUGGGGAUGAUGUCAAGUCAGCAUGGCCUUUAUAUCCUGGGCUACACACACGCUACAAUGGCAGAUACAAUAGGUCGCUAAACCGCGAGGUGGAGCCAAUCCUCAAAGUCUGUCUCAGUUCAGAUUGUAGGCUGCAACUCGCCUGCAUGAAGUCGGAGUUGCUAGUAAACGCAGGUCAGCUAUACUGCGUUGAAUACGUUCCCGGGUUU